CUGAGAACAACCCAAACAAGCCUAACGGUUAAGAACUCAGUCAGCUGUGCUUCCCAGACUCUCUCUUUUUGCCAGGGUCCAGCCUCGGCAGAGUCCAGGUUCCCGCGGGAGAGACGGCGUCGGCGAAAGUGUUUGCAGGGGACUUUGACCAAUGCAGCCUGUUCUUCCUCAGGUGUCCUUGGUGAAGAAAGAAAGAAUUUUACGGAUAUCGUAGGCUGACUGCUGCCCUUUCUUCGCUCUGAGACCUGGGUGGCACAUUUUCAUGGAUACCAAGUACAUGCCUUAUGCUGCACAGAUCUACUUCACACAGCUUUGGAGAACAGCUUCUCCGUGGUUCCUACGGACUUCUCUUUCUGAGGAGAAACUUAGAAAAGUAAGACUUGUGAUUUUUUGCAGACAACAUCACGUUUUUCUGUUGAAGAGAGUUGGAUUUCUCCUUGUCCAACCUACAGUGCUUUUCACUAUUUUUCUGACUUUAUUCAACUGGCAAGAAUCUGCAGCACAAUGUUAAAGAGAAGUUAUGAAAAAGGAUAUUUUCCAGUUUUUCUUGAUCUUAGAGAGACUAUAUUAAAUUAUUUAGUGUUUUUCCAUUAAUUUUAAUGUGAGUUUUAUCAGAUUGUUUUAUAUCAGGCUGAAGAAAAUUCUAUUCUUGUUUUUCCAACAGUUUUUAAACAUGAGUGGGUAUUGAAUUAUGUCAAACGCUAUUUUCCUGCUUCUUUUGAGAUAAUUAUACGGAGUUCCUUUUACUAUGGCAAAUUACACUGAUUUUUCAAUCGUAAACCAACCUUGUUUUCCUUAGACAAAAUAUAUUUUACUUUCAUGUUGUUGGUUUGAGUAUGCUAAUAUUUUGUUAAGGAUUUUUACAUGUAUGUUCAUGAGGAAUAUUAAUCUCUAAUUUUCUGUCUUUGUAAGUUUCUUUCCUGUUUUCCAUUCUGCCUCAUUAAAAACGUUGGAACACAUAAUAUCUUCCUCUAUUUUCUGAAGUUGUUUGGUAGUAUUGGUAUUAUUUGUACUUAAAAUGUGUGACAGAAUUCAGCAGUGAUGUCACCUGGACCUCAG
RNAcentral lists this long non-coding RNA (1059 nucleotides) under Equus caballus (horse). RNAcentral's name for it is "lncRNA (ENSECAG00000059662.1)". Lineage: Eukaryota; Metazoa; Chordata; Mammalia; Perissodactyla; Equidae. The record is from RNAcentral.